AGAGCAAGAGCAGGGGCA
RNAcentral lists this small nuclear RNA (18 nucleotides) under Arabidopsis thaliana (thale cress). RNAcentral's name for it is "snRNA_09547". The record is from RNAcentral. Lineage: Eukaryota; Viridiplantae; Streptophyta; Magnoliopsida; Brassicales; Brassicaceae.